This 266-nucleotide ribosomal RNA is filed under the name uncultured bacterium. RNAcentral describes it as "partial 16S ribosomal RNA". It matches the Rfam family "Bacterial small subunit ribosomal RNA", at positions 87 to 354 of the family's 1533-position model. The record is from RNAcentral.
CUAUCUUAGUGGCGGACGGGUGAGUAACGCGUGGGUAACCUGCCUUGCACUGGGGGAUAACACUUAGAAAUAGGUGCUAAUACCGCAUAACAGUAGGAGACGCAUGCCUUUUACUUGAAAACUCCGGUGGUGUAAGAUGGACCCGCGUCUGAUUAGCUUGUUGGCGGGGUAACGGCCCACCAAGGCAACGAUCAGUAGCCGGCCUGAGAGGGUGAACGGCCACAUUGGGACUGAGACACGGCCCAAACUCCUACGGAAGGCAGCAG